UUGUUCUUCAUCCUCAAAAGAACAAAAUGUUUGAAAUUUUAGUUGCCCCCUCCAGCAGUGCUUAAGAUGUUUUCUCCCAGGGUAUUCCUUCUCAACCUAACAGCAAGGAGUGUGGCUACUUUAUCAUGCGAUACAUGAGAGACAUCAUUGAGGAUAAGGACUUUUCAUUUGUUAACAAGUGGGAGAGGAGAAGCAACCAUGUUUAUACCCAAUUGGAUAUUGAUGAGAUGAGGAAUGAGUGGGCUAGGUUUGUGGUUAAUAGAUAUGUGUAGAAGCCGUUGCAUAUGUUUUUGGAAAGCAUGAUGAAUUUUUGCUUGUGCUGAUAGAUAUCGAUCACAUGAAACAAUUAUCAGCUUUUGAUUCAUGCAUGCAUUGGUCUAGCUAGACUAGGAAUGCUUUCUUUGUUUGUUUGGUAGUUUAAUUAUCUACUUUGGAUGUUUAGUUGUACUUGACAAAUUCAACUUAUAUAGUUACACUAAUGAUAUGGAUCAA
Rosa chinensis is the source of this 492-nucleotide long non-coding RNA. RefSeq lists it as uncharacterized. NCBI's taxonomy places the organism in Eukaryota, Viridiplantae, Streptophyta, Magnoliopsida, Rosales, Rosaceae. The transcript is spliced from 3 exons. The record is from RefSeq and is a predicted model, not a curated record.